AUGCCUCGAAGCCUACCUACGAUGUGCCGUACAUUCAUGCCCAGGCAAUUAGUCCAAGCGGUUGGCCUUGCAGAAUACUGGUAUAACACGUCAUUUCACUCAUUGCUUGGCAGGAUGUUGUUUGAGGUGAUCUAUGGAUAUCUUCCGAGGGAAUUUGGGGUCACUCAAGUGGAUAACUGCACUGUCCCAUGUCUUGCAGCUUGA
RNAcentral lists this ribosomal RNA (204 nucleotides) under Triticum aestivum (bread wheat). RNAcentral describes it as "partial small subunit ribosomal RNA". Lineage: Eukaryota; Viridiplantae; Streptophyta; Magnoliopsida; Poales; Poaceae. The record is from RNAcentral.